RNAcentral lists this ribosomal RNA (486 nucleotides) under uncultured bacterium. RNAcentral's name for it is "bacterial SSU rRNA". It matches the Rfam family "Bacterial small subunit ribosomal RNA", at positions 30 to 512 of the family's 1533-position model. The record is from RNAcentral.
AUUGAACGCUGGCGGAAUGCUUUACACAUGCAAGUCGAACGGCAGCACGGGGCAACCUGGUGGCGAGUGGCGAACGGGUGAGUAAUACAUCGGAACGUGCCCAAUCGUGGGGGAUAACGUAGCGAAAGUUACGCUAAUACCGCAUACGAUCUACGGAUGAAAGCGGGGGAUCGCAAGACCUCGCGCGAAUGGAGCGGCCGAUGUCAGAUUAGGUAGUUGGUGGGGUAAAGGCUCACCAAGCCGACGAUCUGUAGCUGGUCUGAGAGGACGACCAGCCACACUGGGACUGAGACACGGCCCAGACUCCUACGGGAGGCAGCAGUGGGGAAUUUUGGACAAUGGGCGCAAGCCUGAUCCAGCCAUUCCGCGUGCAGGAUGAAGGCCUUCGGUGUAAACUGCUUUGUACGGAACGAAACGGUUACGUCUCUAAUACAGGGGCGUAAUGACGGUACCGUAAGAAUAAGCACCGGCUAACUACGUGCCAGC